Molecule: long non-coding RNA, 1129 nt
Filed under: Homo sapiens (human)
Lineage: Eukaryota; Metazoa; Chordata; Mammalia; Primates; Hominidae
Description: HSALNT0093763
Source: RNAcentral
AUUAAAUGAUUUCCCAAGAACCAAGAAAAUUCAAAACAACAAUUGAGAUAUUGAAGCUCUCCACCGACUGGGAAAAUAGUAAGUUCAACAAAUAAAUUUAUAAAUAAUAUAGCCCAGAAAAUUUUCCUAAAAAUUUCUUCCUCCCUCCUUACAGAUGCUUAACUUAAAUGCCGAGGAGUAUGGAGCUACUUCUUUCAUUUCACCGGAAACUAAUUGUAAAUGCAAAAUAAUGUGCUUCUUGAACUGCAGCUCUACCUCUCCAUUAACAGAAUUGGCUCUGGAAACAUGGUGUAACCAAGAAUGAGUGAGGGCUUUGGCAUCAGAAGAACAUCAGGGUUUUGCUUUUUCUCUUCCCAUUCUUCAGCCAAUUAUUUACCUUUUCUGAACCUCAGUUCCAUCAUCUAUAAAAUGGUCAAAUGAAUUGUCUACACAGUAAUGCACGUAACACAAUGACAUGGUACAUAAGGUUGCUCAGAGGGUAACUUUUUCCUAUUGUUUCCCUUUUGUAUGAUUGUAUCUUUUCACAGCAUGGCCUAUUUUCUUUAUAGCAAGGGCACUAGCAGCAUCUGCCAUGCUGGGAACAUUUCGCAAGUAUUCAGCAGCAUCCUGGAUUACUAAAGGCACGAACUAGGACUCUGAAUUACCAAAGAGGUGAACAAAAUUAUACACUUAGUGAUGACUCAAGUCCUUGGGAGUGAAUUAACAUUUACCUGUUCUAACUAAAUAUCUCAUUGGGUAAAUUGUUGGCAGAUGUUGAAAGAAAAAAAAUUGCUAUGAAACAAAUAUGAUUUUAUCAAAUGAGCUAAGCUCUGAUUUUUACUUUAUGUUUUUGCAGAAAUAAACAUAUCUAUCACAUCAGUGAAUUUAUGCUAGGCUUCUUAAUAUUAAUAUUCUAUUUUAGAGAUUUUUUUUUCAAGUGUUCCUUUUUUUUUUUUUUUUUUUUACAAAAUCCUGAUCUAGGCUUGCUGCUAAGAAUACCAAAAUGACAUUUUAAAAAACAUUGAAACUCUCCAUCUAUUGGGAAUAUAAUAAAUACCACCAAUAAAUUCAUAAAUAAUACAACCUAGAAAACAUUUCUAUAAAUUUCUUCCUCCCCCCAUUCCCACUGAACCGGCAACUUAUGUCCCUG